RNAcentral lists this long non-coding RNA (1169 nucleotides) under Marmota monax (woodchuck). Lineage: Eukaryota; Metazoa; Chordata; Mammalia; Rodentia; Sciuridae. The record is from RNAcentral.
UGAAGGUUAGAGAGACUAAAAUCAGCAUAAGAAUUUGAGCUCAAAUGUUUGAGUUGAGACCCUGUGAACUGAACACCAGACAGGUAGCCUACCUGUUUUCAUGCUCUCUUAUAGCACAGUGUGGCUAAUCACUUUUGAGCAAUAGAUCCUACCUGGGUUGAAGUGAAGAGGGAGUUUUGCUCCUAUAAUUUCAGGAGAUCCUUGGAUACACAUACUAUUGCAAAUAGAUGGCAUUUUAUUAGGAAAGGGGUUAUCAGGACUCCCUAGAGACCUCCCUUUAACAGCCAAGAAGGGGAACAGUCUUAUUUGACUGCCAUUUUCCAUCAGUCACUAUGAAAUCUAAAUUCUAAUCAUGAUACCAUACAAGGUUUAAUGCCACCAGUGAGAUAGAUGUUUAAGAGCUCCGUGAGGCACUAUUUGAGAUUUUUAAAAUACAAAACUAUGGAAAGGGUAAUAAAUGGUUGUGAAUCUAUGUUUGAAACUUAACCUAUUUUUCUGAAAUUGCUGACUGCUGUGGUUUGAAAAUGGUUUGUUUUCCCCAAAGGCUUAUGAGCUGGAGGUUUGGUUCCCAAUGUAACAGUGUUGAGGGGGUAGAACUUUUAAGAGGUGGGGCCCUGUGGGAGGUAAUUAGGUCUUGGGAGCUCCACCUUCUUGAAUGGAUUAAUGCUUUCUCUCUUGGAAGUGGACCAGAUCCCACAUGGAUGGAUUAGUUUCCAUGACAGUGGGUUUUCAUGAAAAGAACGAGCCUUGGCCAAUCCGUCCCCCCCCCCCCCACUCCUUUCUUGCUUCUUCAUUCACACAUGUAUCCCUCUGCUCAAGGCCGGCUCCCUUUCUUCCUGUCAUGUCCAGGGGACCCUUGCCAGGAUUCUAGCACCAUGUUGUCUGGGUCCUGCAGGCACUAGAAUCAUGAGUCAAUAAAGCGCUUUACUUUUUAAAGUUCCUAGACUUAGGUAUUUUGUUAUCGCAACACAAAACAGGCAAAGAUACUGAUUGUAAGAGUUUAAGUCAAGUGAUUUAAACUACCUCUGAUAAAGUUUCCAGUCAAUUUCAUGUUGUUCAUAUACCAUUUCAUUUACUUCUUAAGUACAUAGGAGACAUACAUGAGGGGAAAAAGUGUACUUAUCUCUUUUAAUGAUACUAUAAAAGAUGGUGAAAUAUUUAAUAGAAAG